UUGGAGGGCAAGUCUGGUGCCAGCAGCCGCGGUGAUUCCAGCUCCAAUAGCGUAUAUUAAAGUUGUUGCAGUUAAAAAGCUCGUAGUUGAAUUUCGGAAUCUGUCCAUCGGUCGGGCUUCAUUGUUCGUACUGGUGUGGUGGGUUCUUACCUUCUGAAUAACCAGCAUGCCAUUCACUUGGUGCGUUGGGGAAGCAGGACUAUUACCUUGAAAAAAUUAGAGUGCUCAAAGCAGGCCAGUGCCUGAAUACAUUAGCAUGGAAUAAUAAAAUAGGACGGCAUAGUUCUAUUUUGUUGGUUUCUAGGAUCACCGUAAUGAUUAAUAGGGAUAGUUGGGGGCAUUAGUAUUCAAUUGUCAGAGGUGAAAUUCUUGGAUUUAUUGAAGACUAACUUCUGCGAAAGCAUUUGCCAAGGAUGUUUUCAUUAAUCAAGAACGAAAGUUAGGGGAUCGAAGACGAUCAGAUACCGUCGUAGUCUUAACCAUAAACUGUGCCGACUAGGGAUCGGACGAUGUUAAUUUUUUAAUGACUCGUUCGGCGCCUUACGGGAAAC
This 551-nucleotide ribosomal RNA is filed under the name uncultured Glomeromycotina. RNAcentral describes it as "SSU rRNA". It matches the Rfam family "Eukaryotic small subunit ribosomal RNA", at positions 548 to 1098 of the family's 1831-position model. The record is from RNAcentral. Lineage: Eukaryota; Fungi; Glomeromycota.